Molecule: ribosomal RNA, 462 nt
Filed under: uncultured bacterium
Lineage: Bacteria
Description: partial 16S ribosomal RNA
Rfam family: Bacterial small subunit ribosomal RNA
Source: RNAcentral
GACGAACGCUGGCGGCGUGCUUAACACAUGCAAGUCGAGCGGAAAGGCCCUUCGGGGUACUCGAGCGGCGAACGGGUGAGUAACACGUGAGUAACCUGCCCCAGACUUUGGGAUAACCCUCGGAAACGGGGGCUAAUACCGGAUACGACACAGCUUCGCAUGGGGUCUGUGUGGAAAGUUUUUCGGUUUGGGAUGGGCUCGCGGCCUAUCAGCUUGUUGGUGGGGUGAUGGCCUACCAAGGCGACGACGGGUAGCCGGCCUGAAAGGGCGACCGGCCACACUGGGACUGAGACACGGCCCAGACUCCUACGGGAGGCAGCAGUGGGGAAUAUUGCACAAUGGGCGGAAGCCUGAUGCAGCGACGCCGCGUGAGGGAUGACGGCCUUCGGGUUGUAAACCUCUUUCAGCAGGGACGAAGCGUAAGUGACGGUACCUGCAGAAGAAGCGCCGGCCAACUACGUG